This 460-nucleotide ribosomal RNA is filed under the name uncultured bacterium. RNAcentral describes it as "partial 16S ribosomal RNA". It matches the Rfam family "Bacterial small subunit ribosomal RNA", at positions 338 to 795 of the family's 1533-position model. The record is from RNAcentral.
CCUACGGGAGGCAGCAGUGAGGAAUAUUGGACAAUGGGCGCGAGCCUGAACCAGCCAAGUAGCGUGAAGGAUGAAUGCCCUACGGGUUGUAAACUUCUUCUAUAAAGGAAUAAAGUGAGGCACGUGUGCCUUUUUGUAUGUACUUUAUGAAUAAGGCUCGGAUAAAUCCGUGCAAGCAGCCGCGGUAAUACGGAGGAACCGAGCGUUAACCAGUAUUACUGGGUUUAAAGGGAGCGUAGAUGGGUUGUUAAGUCAGUUGUGAAAUUUUGCGGCUCAACCGUAAAAUUGCAAUUGAUACUGGCAGUCUGGAGUACAGUUGAGGUAGGCGGAAUUCGUGGUGUAGCGGUGAAAUGCUUAGAUAUCACGAAGAACUCCGAUUGCGAAGGCAGCUUACUAAACUGCCACUGACAUUGAUGCUCGAAAGUGUGGGUAUCAAACAGGAUUAGAUACCCCUGUAGUC